RNAcentral lists this transfer RNA (73 nucleotides) under Stegodyphus mimosarum. It matches the Rfam family "tRNA". From Rfam's summary of the family: Transfer RNA (tRNA) molecules are approximately 80 nucleotides in length. Their secondary structure includes four short double-helical elements and three loops (D, anti-codon, and T loops). Further hydrogen bonds mediate the characteristic L-shaped molecular structure. tRNAs have two regions of fundamental functional importance: the anti-codon, which is responsible for specific mRNA codon recognition, and the 3' end, to which the tRNAs corresponding amino acid is attached (by aminoacyl-tRNA synthetases). tRNAs cope with the degeneracy of the genetic code in two manners: having more than one tRNA (with a specific anti-codon) for a particular amino acid; and 'wobble' base-pairing, i.e. permitting non-standard base-pairing at the 3rd anti-codon position. The record is from Rfam by way of RNAcentral. Lineage: Eukaryota; Metazoa; Arthropoda; Arachnida; Araneae; Eresidae.
GCCUCCGUAGUGUAGUGGUCAGUACACUCGGCACGUAUUCGAGCGGUCCGAGGUUCGAGUCCCGGGGAGGGCA